ACAAUCCGCCGAUGGGCCACGGUUUCUUUCCACUAAUUUCUUACUUUUCUUAUUCAGUUUAGGCUUUUUUUUAAACCCAGAAAUUUGUGGGGAAUUUCGGUGAUUGAGAAAUAUCUGAAGCAGUUUCCUUUAGAAAUGUGGAUCAGAAUUUAAAACAUAGCACAUGAAUGAAAACUCGAAUAUCUGAGGCGGAAAAAGUGAAACCGAAAAGAACGAACUAAUUCUUUCACAAUGAGAUUGCUGCCCACGUCGAUUCUGCUCAUCUCCUGCUCCGUCUUCGUCGCCCAAGCUACCUUUCUGAGACGU
Long non-coding RNA from Aplysia californica (California sea hare), 306 nucleotides. RefSeq lists it as uncharacterized. Lineage: Eukaryota; Metazoa; Mollusca; Gastropoda; Aplysiida; Aplysiidae. The transcript has 3 exons. The record is from RefSeq and is a predicted model, not a curated record.